This 1853-nucleotide ribosomal RNA is filed under the name Legionella pneumophila. RNAcentral's name for it is "partial 23S ribosomal RNA". It matches the Rfam family "Bacterial large subunit ribosomal RNA", at positions 1 to 1873 of the family's 2925-position model. Lineage: Bacteria; Pseudomonadati; Pseudomonadota; Gammaproteobacteria; Legionellales; Legionellaceae. The record is from RNAcentral.
GGUCAAGAAGAGAAGCGCAAACGGUGGAUGCCUUGGCAGUAAGAGGCGAAGAAGGACGUGGAAUCCUGCGAAAAGCUAUGGGGAGCUGGAAACGAGCGUUGAGCCAUAGAUGUCCGAAUGGGGGAACCCGGCUGCAGCGAUGCGGUCAUUUGCAUUUGAAUACAUAGGAUGCAAAGGCGAACUCGGGGAACUGAAACAUCUAAGUACCCGAAGGAAAAGAAAUCAAGAGAGAUUCUCCAAGUAGCGGCGAGCGAACGGGGAGGAGCCUGGCGUGAUUUAUUAUUGAACUGAGUAGAACAAUUUGGGAAAGUUGGCGAUAGAGGGUGAAAGCCCCGUAUACGAAGGUUUGAUGAGGAACUAGGCACGCGAACAAGUAGGCCGGGACACGUGAAAUCCUGGUUGAAGAUGGGUGGACCAUCAUCCAAGGCUAAAUACUACUUACUGACCGAUAGUGAACCAGUACCGUGAGGGAAAGGUGAAAAGAACCCCGGAGAGGGGAGUGAAAUAGAAUCUGAAACCGUUUGCGUACAAGCAGUGGGAGCAUGGUUUAGGCUGUGUGACUGCGUACCUUUUGUAUAAUGGGUCAGCGAGUUACUUUCAGUGGCGAGGUUAACUGCAUAAGGGAGCCGUAGAGAAAUCGAGUCUGAAUAGGGCGAUAGUCGCUGGGAGUAGACCCGAAACCGGGCGAUCUAGCCAUGUGCAGGAUGAAGGUUGGGUAACACCAACUGGAGGUCCGAACCGGGUAAUGUUGAAAAAUUAUCGGAUGACGUGUGGCUAGGAGUGAAAGGCUAAUCAAGCCCGGAGAUAGCUGGUUCUCCCCGAAAGCUAUUUAGGUAGCGCCUCGUGAAUGAUUACUGGGGGUAGAGCACUGUUUCGGCUAGGGGGCUGUCAUGGCUUACCAAACCGAUGCAAACUCCGAAUACCGGCUAAUUGAAUCACGGGAGACACACGGCGGGUGCUAACGUCCGUCGUGGAGAGGGAAACAACCCAGACCGCCAGCUAAGGUCCCCAAGUACUAGUUAAGUGGGAAACGAUGUGGGAAGGCAUAGACAGCCAGGAGGUUGGCUUAGAAGCAGCCACCCUUUAAAGAAAGCGUAAUAGCUCACUGGUCGAGUCGGCCUGCGCGGAAGAUGUAACGGGGCUAAAACUAGUCACCGAAGCUGCGGAUGUGCGCGAAGGCGCACGUGGUAGGGGAGCGUUCUGUAGGCUGAUGAAGGUGCAUUGAGAAGUGUGCUGGAGGUAUCAGAAGUGCGAAUGCUGACAUGAGUAACGAUAAUGUGGGUGAAAAGCCCACACGCCGGAAGUCCCAGGUUUCCUGCACGACGUUAAUCGGAGCAGGGUGAGUCGGCCCCUAAGGCGAGGCUGAAGAGCGUAGUCGAUGGGAACCAGGUUAAUAUUCCUGGACUUUUUAUAAGUGGUGAAGUGGGGACGAAGAAGGCUAGGUGAGCCAGGCGUUGGUUGUCCUGGUACUUGCAUGUAGGGGGGAAGACUUGGCAAAUCCGGUUUUCCAUAACUCUGAGGUGCGAAGUGGUUCUGACCUUUUGGUACAGAGAAGUCAUUGAUGCCCGGCUUCCAGGAAAAGCUGCUAGCCAUAACUUAUAGAGAACCGUACCGCAAACCGACACAGGUGGACAGGUAGAGAAUACUAAGGCGCUUGAGAGAACUCGGGUGAAGGAACUAGGCAAAAUGGUACCGUAACUUCGGGAGAAGGUACGCCCUUUCUGGUGAUGGGAUUUACUUUCAGAGCUGGAGAGGGCCGCAGAGACCAGGUGGCUGCGACUGUUUAUUAAAAACACAGCACUCUGCAAAUUCGUAAGAAGACGUAUAGGGUGUGACGCCUGCCCGGUGCCGGA